GAUGAAGAACUUAGCGAAAUGCGAUAAGUAAUGUGAAUUGCAGAAUUCAGUGAAUCAUCGAGUCUUUGAACGCACAUUGCGCCCCCUGGUAUUCCGGGGGGCAUGCCUGUCCGAGCGUCAUUGCCGCCCUCAAGCACGGCUUGUGUGUUGGGCCCCCGCCCCCCGGCUUCGGGGGGCGGGCCCGAAAGGCAGCGGCGGCACCGCGUCCGGUCCUCGAGCGUAUGGGGCUUCGUCACCCGCUCUGUAGGCCCGGCCGGCGCCCGCCGGCGACCCCAAUCAAUCUUUCCAGGUUGACCUCGGAUCAGGUAGGGAUACCCGCUGAACUUAAGCAUAUCAAUAAGCGGAGGA
This 348-nucleotide unclassified non-coding RNA is filed under the name soil metagenome. RNAcentral's name for it is "partial contains 5.8S ribosomal RNA, internal transcribed spacer 2, and large subunit ribosomal RNA". The stretch from base 1 to 120 matches the Rfam family "5.8S ribosomal RNA", at positions 35 to 154 of the family's 154-position model. The record is from RNAcentral.